RNAcentral lists this ribosomal RNA (330 nucleotides) under Triticum aestivum (bread wheat). RNAcentral's name for it is "partial small subunit ribosomal RNA". The record is from RNAcentral. Lineage: Eukaryota; Viridiplantae; Streptophyta; Magnoliopsida; Poales; Poaceae.
AUGUCUAGCUCAACUUCGCCCUCCCGCCAAUCAUGGCCACAGUACGGUCCAGUGCCGUUGACAAGAUGCCCCGAUUGCCCACGCAUGGAGCCUCUGAAGCGUUUGACUUAUGUGAAGGAGGAAAAUGACAACCGUCGGUGCGAGUUCAUCAAAUGCUUGAGCAGGCCACAGCCGGGGCAGGUCCUGAAGAAAUGUGGACAUUUCGAGUGGCUCGAUGAGUACGUUGAGAGGUUGAAAAUGCAGGCUUCAACACAAGAGCUCAAUUUCAAUUUUGGGGGGCAGCUUGGUGUGCAACACGCCUCACAUUUGGUGGACAGAGCCGAUCCAUGA